UUUCACAUUAUGGUUUAAUUCAUUAAUAAAUAUGUUCAGAGUGUUUGUGCAGAGACACAAUUUUUUUGGGUUUCAGAUGGUGGACAUACUGUACAUGUUAUGUCCGCAGUUGAGACUGAAUCCCCUAACGGUGAUAAUGGAGACGUUACUGGAGAAAGAGAGUUAGCACCUAUCAAGCUUUCAGCAAUCUUUACAAGCGAAAGAGUUGAGGACAUUGUAUCUAUCUCCAAGGAUUCAGUUCUUAUCCUUGGUCAAGGCAACAUGUUUCUGUAUGGAACUUCUUGAAUUUGGUUCUUUAUCAUGCAUGGGCAUGGUUCAAGACUUUGCAGCUUUGGAUGGUCUUUUGGCUAAAGACAGGAUGAGUUUUGGUGAUUUUGAAGAUGAACUUAUCCACCUGAAGACCUAGAGACAUGUUCUUAACAAUCACUUGCUUUGAGGUUCCAUUUGGAUACCCAUGACUAGAUCCAGUUUAAUAUUAUUGUAUAUCUUUUGUUCUAGCUAUUUCAAUUGUUUUUCUUUCUAUCCAUACAUUAUCAAUUUGAUGAUCCUGACGAUGCCCCUGAGGUGCAUACGCAUGAUCUCGCAACAGGUGCAGAAAAUGACGCCCAAUUACUGCCCUCGAGGUGUUGUUAGACUUAGUGGGUCACUACGCGAACAAUCAGUGUAGUUCUAAUCUGAACAUUUUAGUUUCAUGUAAUUGUUAUGCUCUAACAUUUUUUAAUAAAUAAUGUGCCGUUGCAACGCACGG
Molecule: long non-coding RNA, 748 nt
Organism: Zea mays
Lineage: Eukaryota; Viridiplantae; Streptophyta; Magnoliopsida; Poales; Poaceae
Exons: 5
Source: RefSeq, a predicted model, not a curated record